UGGGGAAUAUUGGACAAUGGGCGCAAGCCUGAUCCAGCCAUGCCGCGUGAGUGAUGAAGGCCCUAGGGUUGUAAAGCUCUUUCACCGGUGAAGAUAAUGACGGUAACCGGAGAAGAAGCCCCGGCUAACUUCGUGCCAGCAGCCGCGGUAAUACGAAGGGGGCUAGCGUUGUUCGGAUUUACUGGGCGUAAAGCGCACGUAGGCGGACUUUUAAGUCAGGGGUGAAAUCCCGGGGCUCAACCCCGGAACUGCCUUUGAUACUGGAAGUCUUGAGUAUGGUAGAGGUGAGUGGAAUUCCGAGUGUAGAGGUGAAAUUCGUAGAUAUUCGGAGGAACACUAGUGGCGAAGGCGGCUCACUGGACCAUUACUGACGCUGAGGUGCGAAAGCGUGGGGAGCAAACAGG
Molecule: ribosomal RNA, 404 nt
Filed under: Actinomycetes bacterium
Lineage: Bacteria; Bacillati; Actinomycetota; Actinomycetes
Also listed under: 1 other name
Description: Actinobacteria bacterium partial 16S ribosomal RNA
Rfam family: Bacterial small subunit ribosomal RNA
Source: RNAcentral